AUACGGAGGGUGCAAGCGUUACUCGGAAUCACUGGGCGUAAAGCGCGCGCAGGCGGCUAUUUAAGUUGGAUGUGAAAGCCUACGGCUCAACCGUAGAACUGCAUCCAAAACUAUUUAGCUAGAGUGUGGGAGAGGAAGAUGGAAUUAGUUGUGUAGAGGUAAAAUCCGUAGAGAUAACUAGGAAUACCAAAAGCGAAGGCAAUCUUCUGGAACACUACUGACGCUGAGGCGCGAAAGCGUGGGGAGCAAACAGCAUUAGAAACCCUAGUAGUCC
Molecule: ribosomal RNA, 274 nt
Filed under: uncultured bacterium
Lineage: Bacteria
Description: partial 16S ribosomal RNA
Rfam family: Bacterial small subunit ribosomal RNA
Source: RNAcentral